AUUUAAUUUCCAAACAGGUUCGUGAGCCGAGGGACUGAAUAGAUGCGGAGAGCUGGGUGAGAGUGUAACUGACAGCUCUCUGUGGUCUUGUGCCUUCCGAGGAAGUUCAUGACAACUGCAAACGCUUGACACCUAUGAAAAUCAGGCUCCGUAUCCUUGUGAAUAGUAUCUUUAAAGAACAGAGGGUCGGAGUGCUGUUUUUGCAGGCUGCAGCUUACCUUCUGUGCGCUCCGAGAGUGCCCCACGAAGGGGCAGGAAGACAGCAGCUGCUGGAGGGAGAUCA
This is a long non-coding RNA of Cygnus atratus (black swan), 283 nucleotides long. RefSeq lists it as uncharacterized. Lineage: Eukaryota; Metazoa; Chordata; Aves; Anseriformes; Anatidae. The record is from RefSeq and is a predicted model, not a curated record. The transcript is spliced from 3 exons.